UAAAGUUUAAUUAAACAAGUAUUGUUGAUCAAAUUAAGUUGACAUGAAUGAAUGAUCUUAUUUAUGUUAUGACAGACAUUAAGUAGCUAUUCCUAUUCAGCGUGCGUACGAGGGAAGUACUGAAAAUACAACAGGUAGAGGCAAGCAUGUUUUAUUUUAAGUAAUUAAUUCUUUAAACACAUAAAUUAAAACCCAAUUAAUUGAGCUUCAAAAGCUGAUGAUGAUCUUAGUACAAGUACAAGCUAAAGUUAAUUACAAGCCAAUUUGAUGAUCAUUUUGCUCCCUUCCCUGCCACUCAUUUUGCUCCAUCUCGAACGAAUAUGUUUCUCUCGUUGAGCUGUUUUUCUCCCUUUAACCAAUAAUAUUUCAACGCAUAAAAACAAAUCAAUCGCCAUUUCUCAUCACAUCAGCUGAACUCAACACUUGAGACUCUUCUUCUUUUUCUUCUUUGUUUUCCCUCGCCGGAAUCUGUAUACAAGCCGCCGCCGGUGGUUCAACUAAUUUGAAGGAACCAAAUUUGGGAGUGAACUGAAGUGUAGAAGCUUGGGAAUUUGUGUCGAAAGUGAAUGAAAAGCUCGAAUUGCACGCCGAAUUGGAGCUAACUUCAAACUUCUCAAGAGCACUCGGACAAUUCUUCCUCCUCUUUGUCUGUCUAAACGCCUCGGCGUCGUUCUUCUCGGGCUUCUCUCCGCCGGUUUUGGUGGCGGAGAUCGGCGGAUCUUCGCCGGAAUCUGAGGUGUUGCCGGGAAUGGAGCACGUGACGACCAGGGUUUCUUCUGUCUUAACCUCCGCCAUCUUUGGUCAGGGCAGGGUCACGGGCAGAGGAAUAAAAAGGUCUACACACAGUUUGUGUGUGUAAACAAGAUUUUUAUAUAAGGUACGAUCAUAAUUACCAUCAAGUCCUUGGUUUAUUGUCCUGCUAAAAGUAAGAUACAUAAGAUAGGUUCGAGACCAAUUAAAAUUCACCGAUUGACCGAAUUCAGCAUGAACUAAAUAAGAAAGAAUCCUUCCAUACAUGCUUAAAAGAAUUUAAUUUCUCAACAAUUAGCCAAGUUCUACUUCCCUUGGUUUUAAAAUUAGAUUUCAAAUUGGAGAUAUGUUUUGAUUUUUUAAAUUAUUUUAUAAUUAAUAUAAUAAUUAUAAACUAACACGAAAUACUCAAAACUUAAUUGAUAAUUAAUCUUAUCAAUUUUUAACUUCAAAAAGUCAAAAUGUGCCACUUAAUAUUACUUGAAUAAAAUCACUAUUAACAGUCUGAAAUUUCCAUUAAACCUUUACAAAUAUCAUGUUCAAGAAACAUAAACUAUACACCUGUAUACAACUUUGAUAUAGAGAAGGGAAGAGGGGGAAGAAAUUACGGAAUUGAUCACAAGUAAGUGAGAUGGUGAAAAGGAUGGAGACUUGCCAAUCACUUUUCCAUCCAUGCUCCAAACUACUACUAAUCGACUUCCUAUGCGUAGUAAUUUUUGGCAAAAUAAUGUACACAUUUACUCGAUCGUACUAGAUACAUACAUGCUAUUAUGUUGUUUUUAAUAGUCCCAAACUUUUUCUUUAGAAUUCGCAAGAAGUUCCCAACCUUUGCUUCGAGAAUCCCAUGUUUUUUCUUCCGUCGAAUGCUUCAGGCAGAAGUUCUUCAAAACUCUCCAAGAACAACUCCCAUUCCUCCUCCUUCAUUUCCCCGAAAGAAAUUCCUCCACUUUCAUGGUUAUGAUUGUGAACUGCGAAGCUCAUGCUCCUUAAAAUCCCUCCUAUAUUUUGAUUACUGUCAGUACCACUACUGCUGUCAGCACCGCCAACGCUAUCCUCCAAGGCCUCAUUUGAAUCAUAAUCAUCAGUUUUGUUGUCAUGACAUUCAUCUUGCAACGAAGACAUCGAGUUAUGAAAUCUUCUUAUUAUCCUUUCAGAUGAAUAUCUUGGAAUUUUUGGCGGCUUAACUAUCCCUGGAGAGGUCUUUAAGAAUUGAGGAACACUGCAUACAUGAUUCAAGCCAUCUUCACAUUCAUAGUCAAAUUGAAACAUUCCCAUAUCUUCUUUUUCUUCAUUACCGGUAUCAGAAUCGUCCUCGCUUUUAGUGCUACUUAAGCCAGCC
Molecule: long non-coding RNA, 2089 nt
Filed under: Panax ginseng (ginseng)
Lineage: Eukaryota; Viridiplantae; Streptophyta; Magnoliopsida; Apiales; Araliaceae
Description: long non-coding RNA (PGIN_LNC003190)
Source: RNAcentral